Molecule: long non-coding RNA, 561 nt
Filed under: Nicotiana tabacum (common tobacco)
Lineage: Eukaryota; Viridiplantae; Streptophyta; Magnoliopsida; Solanales; Solanaceae
Description: long non-coding RNA (NTAB_LNC015119)
Source: RNAcentral
UCACUUGAAUAACACAAACUUAUUACCCAAAUAAUAAAAAAUAAAAAAAAGAGGACCAAAUAUGUUGUUCCCACAUCUUCCUCUUACCCUAUUCUUCUGUUUCUGCCUGUUUUUCUCGUUUUCAUAUGCUCAUUACAAGCCCCCUUGUGAUUGUUCCUCUGCUCAUAACAAUAGCCAUGAAAACAUUCCCACUAACCCUGGUAAUUCAUUCCCUGCUCAUAACAACAGCCACGAAAAUAUUCCAACCAAGCCUGGAAAUUCUUUCCCUGCUCAAAACAACAGCCAUGAAAAUAUUCCAACCAAGCCUGGAAAUUCUUUCCCUGCUCAAAACAACAGCCAUGAAAAUAUUCCAACCAAGCCUGGAAAUUCUUUCCCUGCUCAAAACAACAGCCAUGAAAAUAUUCCAACCAAGCCUGGAAAUUCUUUCCCUGCUCAAAACAACAGCCAUGAAAUUCCCAGUAACUCUUCCCCUGCUCUAAAUAACAGCCAUGAAAUUCCAACCAAGCCUGGUAAUUCAUUCCCACCUCAUAAUAACAGCCAUGAAUUUCCCACCAAGCCUGG